Molecule: ribosomal RNA, 481 nt
Filed under: uncultured bacterium
Lineage: Bacteria
Description: partial 16S ribosomal RNA
Rfam family: Bacterial small subunit ribosomal RNA
Source: RNAcentral
GACGAACGUUGGCGGCGUGCUUAAUACAUGCAAGUCAACUGAAGCAGUGGUAGCAAUAUCGCUGUGGAGGUGGCGCACGGGUGAGUAACACGUAGGUAAUCUGCCUUCAGGUCUGGCAUAACUCCGGGAAACCGGGGCUAAUAGCAGAUGAUGCAGCGGCUCGACAUCGAGACAGUUGUUAAAGCUAUGGCGCCUGAAGAUGAGCCUGCGUCUGAUUAGCUAGUUGGCGGGGUAACGGCCCACCAAGGCAACGAUCAGUAGCUGGUCUGAGAGGAUGAUCAGCCACACUGGAACUGAGACACAGUCCAGACUCCUACGGGAGGCAGCAGUAAGGAAUAUUGCUCAAUGGGAGAAAUCCUGAAGCAGCAACGCCGCGUGAGGGACGAAGGGCUUUUGCUUGUAAACCUCUGUAGUGAGAGAAAAAAAUCCCAAUCUUUGGGACAUGAUGGUAUCUCAAAAGUAAGCCCCGGCUAACUACGUG